Long non-coding RNA from Arvicola amphibius (Eurasian water vole), 802 nucleotides. RefSeq lists it as uncharacterized. Lineage: Eukaryota; Metazoa; Chordata; Mammalia; Rodentia; Cricetidae. The record is from RefSeq and is a predicted model, not a curated record. The transcript has 3 exons.
GCGAUAUCCUUGCUCGCUUUCUGUCUGUGCCGAGACAACAGGUGACAAACUCAGAACUGCCACCAGCAGCCUAAGGACUUCCUGUAAGCUCUCAGGGCCUCCAUUCAGGUGUGGGAUGCCAUGAGUUCUGUGUAUCCUGGUGGUGUGUAGUACCAUUCAUGGGAAGAGAACCCAGCCUGUAGGCAAGAGGGGUCCUAUCUCCAGCCACAGGGAUCUCUGUAUGAGAAAGCCCAGCAUGGAUCCCUCCCCGGGUAGAUACAGGGAUGAUCACAUGAGGGCCUGGUUCGAAAGGUGAAUGAACUGAGAUGACUCUGUUGCUGUCCCUGGAGCCCAGCUCGGAUGUGCUGCCGUUAUUUGUGUUCGUCUAUGGUCUUCCAUGUUUUCCUCAAAGGCAGCGGCCACAUGUGUCCCUUUCACUACCUGUGUAGGAGAGGAAAGUUUCCUCCAACUCCCUCCACUAGGGUAGAAAACAAACAAACAAAACAUUGACAGGAGAAAAAGGAAAUAAGCUAUUUGCGUCUUUUAUAUACACACAGGACCCUUCACAAGAAAAACAUAGCAAAAGCAGCAGCUAGGGUCAAAGUCACAUGCAGUAAGCUUGAUGUGAGUGGUAAAUUACCCAGUGUGUCCAGACAAAGGUGCUUAGGAGAAGGCGGACAACUGCAGAUUCUUUUAACAAUGGCUAGAAUACAGGUGUCUCUUGGCCUCCACUCCCCCAUUGUUAUCCAGGAAUCUGGCAUUCCCUUUGGUGAGUUCUUAGGCACAUUUACAAAAGAGUUUAAAGGCCAACUCGGAAGGCAGG